UUAUGACAGCUUGGUUGCAGCUGUACUAUAAUGCACAAGUGCUGUACUUUUGGGAGUGCUGUACAAGACGAUUUUAGCAAAUGCAGAAAACAAAACGUUUUUAAUCACUUG
Xenia sp. Carnegie-2017 is the source of this 111-nucleotide long non-coding RNA. RefSeq lists it as uncharacterized. The record is from RefSeq and is a predicted model, not a curated record. The transcript has 3 exons. NCBI's taxonomy places the organism in Eukaryota, Metazoa, Cnidaria, Anthozoa, Malacalcyonacea, Xeniidae.